Molecule: transfer RNA, 74 nt
Filed under: Nothobranchius kafuensis (Kafue killifish)
Lineage: Eukaryota; Metazoa; Chordata; Actinopteri; Cyprinodontiformes; Nothobranchiidae
Description: tRNA-Leu
Source: RNAcentral
AUUAGUGUGGCAGAGACAGGGUAUUGCAGAAGGCCUAAGCCCUCCCCACGGAAGUUCAAGUCUUCCCUCUAAUU